AACGCACAUUGCGCCCGCCGGCAUUCCGGCGGGCAUGCCUGUCCGAGCGUCAUUUCGACCCUCAAGCCCCCGGCUUGGUGUUGGGGGAGCGGCCGGCCCUCGCGCCGCCGCCCCCCGAAACGAAUCGGCGGUCUCGCCGCGGCCUCCCCUGCGCAGUACUGAAUACCUCGCACCGGAGCGCGGCGCGGCCACGGCCGCAAAACGCCCAACUUUCUCAAGAGUUGACCUCGGAUCAGGUAGGAAUACCCGCUGAACUUAA
RNAcentral lists this unclassified non-coding RNA (259 nucleotides) under uncultured fungus. Its description in RNAcentral is "partial contains 5.8S ribosomal RNA, internal transcribed spacer 2, and large subunit ribosomal RNA". The record is from RNAcentral. Lineage: Eukaryota; Fungi.